Molecule: ribosomal RNA, 420 nt
Filed under: Pantoea sp. SB77
Lineage: Bacteria; Pseudomonadati; Pseudomonadota; Gammaproteobacteria; Enterobacterales; Erwiniaceae
Description: bacterial SSU rRNA
Rfam family: Bacterial small subunit ribosomal RNA
Source: RNAcentral
UAUUAACGCGAAGGACCUUACCUGGCCUUGACAUCCAGAGAACUUAGCAGAGAUGCUUUGGUGCCUUCGGGAACUCUGAGACAGGUGCUGCAUGGCUGUCGUCAGCUCGUGUUGUGAAAUGUUGGGUUAAGUCCCGCAACGAGCGCAACCCUUAUCCUUUGUUGCCAGCGAUUCGGUCGGGAACUCAAAGGAGACUGCCGGUGAUAAACCGGAGGAAGGUGGGGAUGACGUCAAGUCAUCAUGGCCCUUACGGCCAGGGCUACACACGUGCUACAAUGGCGCAUACAAAGAGAAGCGACCUCGCGAGAGCAAGCGGACCUCAUAAAGUGCGUCGUAGUCCGGAUUGGAGUCUGCAACUCGACUCCAUGAAGUCGGAAUCGCUAGUAAUCGUAGAUCAGAAUGCUACGGGAAUACGACCAU